ACGGGGUGCAGCAGGCGCGAAAACUUCACAAUGCGGGAACCGCGAUAAGGGGACACCGAGUGCCAGCAUAUUAUGUUGGCUGUCCAUAUGUAUAAAUAACAUGUGUUAGCAAGGGCCGGGCAAGACCGGCGCCAGCCGCCGCGGUAACACCGGCGGCCCGAGUGGUAGCCACUAUUAUUGGGUCUAAAGGGUCCGUAGCCGGUUUGUUCAGUCUUCCGGGAAAUCUGACAGCUCAACUGUUAGGCUUCCGGGGGAUACUGUCAGACUUGGAACCGGGAGAGGUAAGAGGUACUACAGGGGUAGGAGUGAAAUCUUGUAAUCCUUGUGGGACCACCAGUGGCGAAGGCGUCUUACCAGAACGGGUUCGACGGUGAGGGACGAAGGCUGGGGGCACGAACCGGAUUAGAUACCCGGGUAGUCCCAGCCGUAAACGAUGCUCGCUAGGUGUCUGGGAUGGUACGACCGUUUCAGGUGCCGCAGGGAAGCCGUGAAGCGAGCCACCUGGGAAGUACGGCCGCAAGGCUGAAACUUAAAGGAAUUGGCGGGGGAG
Molecule: ribosomal RNA, 550 nt
Filed under: uncultured archaeon
Lineage: Archaea
Description: bacterial SSU rRNA
Rfam family: Archaeal small subunit ribosomal RNA
Source: RNAcentral